This 594-nucleotide long non-coding RNA is filed under the name Rattus norvegicus (Norway rat). Its description in RNAcentral is "long non-coding RNA NONRATT023622". Lineage: Eukaryota; Metazoa; Chordata; Mammalia; Rodentia; Muridae. The record is from RNAcentral.
CCGGUGAGCCUCAGACGCUACAGAACAACAGCCACCUCUAUAUGUGCCUUAUUCCUACAUGUUCAUCCUAGGCACUGUCAGUGUGUUUGCUGCUGCUGUAAGAAAUUCCUGAGAUGGAGACAUUCAUAGCGAAGAUGUAUUCAUUUUGUCUCACAUAGUUGAAGGCUGGGCAGUCUAAGAGCAUGGCCCCACCAUGGCUCCAUGUUCCUCUGGCAGCUUCCCAGAAAAGCACCACGCAUCUGUUCCCAAAACAUCCGUUCAUAACCGCUCUUCGUUUUGUUCCUUUCCUUUGAUUAUAAAAAUAGUUUAAAUAUAAAAAAAUUAGUAAUAGCCAUCUGCACGUCUUUCUUUGAGUUGUCUGUGAAAUUUUAUGCCCUGCCCAUGCUUUUUUUCUAUUGAUCCAUUUGUUAUUUUCUUAUUGAUUUGCAAAAUGCUCUUGACAUAUUAAGCAACACUGGCCCCAGCCACAUGGGUUGCAGAUGUUUUUGCUCAGAUCGGUUGUUGUCUUUUGCAUUUAUUUACAGUACUCUUUGACGUUCAGAAAUUUUCAUUUUGUAAAUAAAAAAAAAGCCUCAAAUAAAUUGAGUCAUUACU